UACGUAGGUGGCGAGCGUUGUCCGGAUUUACUGGGCGUAAAGGGAGCGUAGGCGGACUUUUAAGUGAGAUGUGAAAUACUCGGGCUCAACUUGAGUGCUGCAUUUCAAACUGGAAGUCUAGAGUGCAGGAGAGGAGAAUGGAAUUCCUAGUGUAGCGGUGAAAUGCGUAGAUAUUAGGAGGAACACCAGUUGCGAAGGCGGCUCUCUGGACUGUAACUGACACUGAGGCACGAAAGCGUGGGGAGCAAACAGG
RNAcentral lists this ribosomal RNA (253 nucleotides) under uncultured bacterium. RNAcentral's name for it is "partial 16S ribosomal RNA". It matches the Rfam family "Bacterial small subunit ribosomal RNA", at positions 524 to 776 of the family's 1533-position model. The record is from RNAcentral.